Molecule: non-coding RNA, 141 nt
Filed under: Candidatus Acetatifactor stercoripullorum
Lineage: Bacteria; Bacillati; Bacillota; Clostridia; Lachnospirales; Lachnospiraceae
Description: FMN riboswitch (RFN element)
Rfam family: FMN riboswitch aptamer (RFN element)
About the family: The RFN element is a highly conserved domain that is found frequently in the 5'-untranslated regions of prokaryotic mRNAs that encode for flavin mononucleotide (FMN) biosynthesis and transport proteins. This element is a metabolite-dependent riboswitch that directly binds FMN in the absence of proteins. In Bacillus subtilis, the riboswitch most likely controls gene expression by causing premature transcription termination within the 5' untranslated region of the ribDEAHT operon and precluding access to the ribosome-binding site of ypaA mRNA.
Source: RNAcentral
UUCUUCGGGGUUGGGUGAAAUUCCCUACUGGCGGUAAGCAGUUUUUUGCAAGUCCGCGACCCGCGUAUGGCCAAGGAGGCCAUGCUGCGGCUGAUUCGGUGCAAAUCCGAGACCAACAGUAAAGUCUGGAUGAAAGAAGAA